GAUGAACGCUGGCGGCGUGCCUAAUACAUGCAAGUCGAGCGAACGGACGAGAAGCUUGCUUCUCUGAUGUUAGCGGCGGACGGGUGAGUAACACGUGGAUAACCUACCUAUAAGACUGGGAUAACUUCGGGAAACCGGAGCUAAUACCGGAUGAUAUUUUGAACCGCAUGGUUCAAAAGUGAAAGACGGUCUUGCUGUCACUUAUAGAUGGAUCCGCGCUGCAUUAGCUAGUUGGUAAGGUAACGGCUUACCAGGCAACGAUGCAUAGCCGACCUGAGAGGGUGAUCGGACACACUGGAACUGAGACACGGUCCAGACUCCUACGGGAGGCAGCAGUAGGGAAUCUUCCACAAUGGGCGAAAGCCUGACGGAGCAACGCCGCGUGAGUGAUGAAGGUCUUCGGAUCGUAAAACUCUGUUAUUAGGGAAGAACAUAUGUGUAAGUAACUGUGCACAUCUUGACGGUACCUAAUCAGAAAGCCACGGCUAACUACGUG
Molecule: ribosomal RNA, 496 nt
Filed under: uncultured bacterium
Lineage: Bacteria
Description: partial 16S ribosomal RNA
Rfam family: Bacterial small subunit ribosomal RNA
Source: RNAcentral